RNAcentral lists this microRNA precursor (57 nucleotides) under Lingula anatina. RNAcentral describes it as "Lan-Mir-34-P10_pre stem-loop". Lineage: Eukaryota; Metazoa; Brachiopoda; Lingulata; Lingulida; Lingulidae. The record is from RNAcentral.
UGGCAGUGUGGUUAGCUGGUUGAGUAAAUCCUGUCAACCGCUGACUACACUACCUUA